RNAcentral lists this ribosomal RNA (482 nucleotides) under uncultured bacterium. RNAcentral describes it as "partial 16S ribosomal RNA". It matches the Rfam family "Bacterial small subunit ribosomal RNA", at positions 30 to 507 of the family's 1533-position model. The record is from RNAcentral.
AUUGAACGCUGGCGGCAUGCUUUACACAUGCAAGUCGAACGGUAACAGGCCGCAAGGUGCUGACGAGUGGCGAACGGGUGAGUUAUGCAUCGGAACGUGCCCAGUCGUGGGGGAUAACUACUCGAAAGAGUAGCUAAUACCGCAUACGAUCUAUGGAUGAAAGCGGGGGACCGUAAGGCCUCGCGCGAUUGGAGCGGCCGAUGUCAGAUUAGGUAGUUGGUGGGGUAAAGGCUCACCAAGCCAACGAUCUGUAGCUGGUCUGAGAGGACGACCAGCCACACUGGGACUGAGACACGGCCCAGACUCCUACGGGAGGCAGCAGUGGGGAAUUUUGGACAAUGGGCGCAAGCCUGAUCCAGCAAUGCCGCGUGCAGGAAGAAGGCCUUCGGGUUGUAAACUGCUUUUGUACGGAACGAAACGGCUCUGGUUAAUACCCGGGGCUAAUGACGGUACCGUAAGAAUAAGCACCGGCUAACUACGUG